RNAcentral lists this ribosomal RNA (271 nucleotides) under uncultured Nitrosomonas sewDGGE5. RNAcentral's name for it is "partial 16S ribosomal RNA". It matches the Rfam family "Bacterial small subunit ribosomal RNA", at positions 195 to 468 of the family's 1533-position model. The record is from RNAcentral. Lineage: Bacteria; Pseudomonadati; Pseudomonadota; Betaproteobacteria; Nitrosomonadales; Nitrosomonadaceae. RNAcentral also lists the same sequence under 1 other name.
GGGGAUCGAAAGACCUUAUGCUUUUGGAGCGGCCGAUGUCUGAUUAGCUAGUUGGUAAGGUAAUGGCUUACCAAGGCGACGAUCAGUAGUUGGUCUGAGAGGACGACCAGCCACACUGGGACUGAGACACGGCCCAGACUCCUACGGGAGGCAGCAGUGGGGAAUUUUGGACAAUGGGCGCAAGCCUGAUCCAGCAAUGCCGCGUGAGUGAAGAAGGCCUUCGGGUUGUAAAGCUCUUUCAGUCGAGAAGAAAAGGCUGUGACUAAUAAUC